This 76-nucleotide transfer RNA is filed under the name Acidovorax carolinensis. RNAcentral describes it as "tRNA-Thr". It matches the Rfam family "tRNA". From Rfam's summary of the family: Transfer RNA (tRNA) molecules are approximately 80 nucleotides in length. Their secondary structure includes four short double-helical elements and three loops (D, anti-codon, and T loops). RNAcentral also lists the same sequence under 2 other names. The record is from RNAcentral. Lineage: Bacteria; Pseudomonadati; Pseudomonadota; Betaproteobacteria; Burkholderiales; Comamonadaceae.
GCCGCUUUAGCUCAGUUGGUAGAGCAAUUCAUUCGUAAUGAAGAGGUCGACAGUUCGAUUCCGUCAAGCGGCACCA